Molecule: long non-coding RNA, 915 nt
Organism: Polyodon spathula (Mississippi paddlefish)
Lineage: Eukaryota; Metazoa; Chordata; Actinopteri; Acipenseriformes; Polyodontidae
Exons: 3
Source: RefSeq, a predicted model, not a curated record
AACACCCCAGGAGCAUCGUUACUGUCCAGUUCUCCGUCCCUGAGUCUUCUCUCCCCAUCGUUCACCUCCUCUGGGGAGACGCUGGCACCAGGGACCCUGAGCAUCUUGCCCAGUAUUGUCCCAGUGCACACUUUCAGCUUCCCCAUCCUCUCGUUCAACUCAGACUCUAAAGCAGGAGGGAGUAAAGAUGCAGUCGUGACGGGGCCUGCACCAGGGACGCUCCAUCAUGGCCUUGCCCACAGUAUUUUUGCUGGGUUGCACGCUAGCGCCCACCACACAACACAGCUCCCACAACCCACUCAGUCUACCCACUUACAGCAAAGUCUGCAAGAUGGCAGUCAAAUCCAUGGAGAGAACUCAAAUGCACAGCGAAAACUGCAGUGAUGCUUCUUGCAGAAUGAACAUGGAUUCUGGUAACUGUACCAUGGACUAUUACAUAACCGAAUGGGUUUUAGAUGCUCAUUCUUUAAAAUGACUGUCAUCUAACAUUGCAGAAUACUUUUUUUCCUACUUUGUCAACUUCUCUGAAGAAGACAGGAGAGUAAACGUGAGCCUUGUUCUUACUGUAGGAAAUAAGACACAGAUAUGCAGUCAAAAUACUAAAACUGUUGUGCUUUUUAAAAUGUUCUUUAUGUAUAUUACAAGGACCAGAAUAUUGUAAGGCUGCUUGUAAUGAGAAUAAAUUGAUCAAUAACGUUUGAAGAUUUAUAAAUGAAGUGUCAGAUAGUGUAAGAGAAUAAUAUCUGGUGUUUCGCAGUACAGCUAUGGUCACAAGUUUAGCAUCACCCUAUAGAAUUAACUCAUUGUGUUUUAUAAAGUCCAAUAAAUCCUGCUGAGUAAUAUUAAGUUAACAUAUUGAAUUGCACACUGCUUUGUAAUUUUCCAUAUAUAAUGGAAAACUGACAACUUUAAAAA